RNAcentral lists this non-coding RNA (138 nucleotides) under human gut metagenome. The record is from RNAcentral.
CGCGAGGGCUUAAUAGGGAAGCCGGUGGAAAUCCGGCACGGUCCCGCCACUGUAACGCGGAGCGGCUCCAAAGAUGCCACUGGGAUACCGGGAAGGCUGGAGACGCGGGGAAGCGGAGUCAGGAGAACUGCCUGCCGG